Molecule: transfer RNA, 69 nt
Filed under: Monochamus sparsutus
Lineage: Eukaryota; Metazoa; Arthropoda; Insecta; Coleoptera; Cerambycidae
Description: tRNA-Gln
Source: RNAcentral
UUCUACAUUUUAAUAUAUGAGGUAUAUAGAUUUUUGAUAUCUAAAGAAUUAGUUUAAUCCUAUUAAAUG